GAUGAACGCUGGCGGCGUGCUUAACACAUGCAAGUCGAGCGAGAAGCUAUCUAAUGAACCUUCGGGUGAUUUAGGUAGUGGAAAGCGGCGGACGGGUGAGUAACGCGUGGGUAACCUGCCCUAUGCAGGGGGAUAACACAUUGAAAAGUGUGCUAAUACCGCAUAAGACCACAGAGUCGCAUGACUUGGUGGUAAAAACUCCGGUAGCAUAGGAUGGACCCGCGUCUGAUUAGCUAGUAGGUAAGGUAACGGCUUACCUAGGCGACGAUCAGUAGCCGACCUGAGAGGGUGAUCGGCCACAUUGGGACUGAGACACGGCCCAAACUCCUACGGGAGGCAGCAGUGGGGAAUAUUGCACAAUGGGCGAAAGCCUGAUGCAGCGACGCCGCGUGAACGAUGAAGGCUUUUCGAGUCGUAAA
Molecule: ribosomal RNA, 419 nt
Filed under: uncultured bacterium
Lineage: Bacteria
Description: bacterial SSU rRNA
Rfam family: Bacterial small subunit ribosomal RNA
Source: RNAcentral